AGCGAACGCUGGCGGCAGGCUUAACACAUGCAAGUCGAGCGGGCACUUUCGGGUGUCAGCGGCGGACGGGUGAGUAACGCGUGGGAACGUGCCCUCUGGUUCGGAAUAACUCAGGGAAACUUGAGCUAAUACCGGAUACGCCCUUUUGGGGAAAGGCUUGCUGCCGGAGGAUCGGCCCGCGUCUGAUUAGCUAGUUGGUGAGGUAACGGCUCACCAAGGCGACGAUCAGUAGCUGGUCUGAGAGGAUGAUCAGCCACACUGGGACUGAGACACGGCCCAGACUCCUACGGGAGGCAGCAGUGGGGAAUAUUGGACGAUGGGCGCAAGCCUGAUCCAGCCAUGCCGCGUGAGUGAUCAAGGCCUUAGGGUUGUAAAGCUCUUUUAUCCGGGACGAUAAUGACGGUACCGGAGGAAUAAGCCCCGGCUAACUUCGUG
This 435-nucleotide ribosomal RNA is filed under the name uncultured bacterium. RNAcentral describes it as "partial 16S ribosomal RNA". It matches the Rfam family "Bacterial small subunit ribosomal RNA", at positions 29 to 507 of the family's 1533-position model. The record is from RNAcentral.